UACGGAGGGUGCAAGCGUUGCUCGGAAUUAUUGGGCGUAAAGGGUAGGUAGGUGGUUUUAUUAGUUUGGAGUGAAAUCCUUGGGCUUAACCUAAGAAGGGCUUCAAAGACGGUAAGACUAGAGUUCUAGAGAGGGUUGUGGAAUUUCCGGUGUAGCGGUGAAAUGCGUAGAGAUCGGAAGGAACACCAGAGGCGAAGGCGACAAUCUGGAUAGGGACUGACACUGAGCUACGAAAGCAUGGGGAGCAAACAGG
This 253-nucleotide ribosomal RNA is filed under the name uncultured bacterium. RNAcentral describes it as "partial 16S ribosomal RNA". It matches the Rfam family "Bacterial small subunit ribosomal RNA", at positions 524 to 776 of the family's 1533-position model. The record is from RNAcentral.